RNAcentral lists this ribosomal RNA (253 nucleotides) under uncultured bacterium. RNAcentral describes it as "partial 16S ribosomal RNA". It matches the Rfam family "Bacterial small subunit ribosomal RNA", at positions 524 to 776 of the family's 1533-position model. The record is from RNAcentral.
UACAGAGGUGGCAAGCGUUGUUCGGAUUUACUGGGCGUAAAGCGCGCGUAGGCGGCUUUGCAAGUCGGGUGUGAAAUCCCCAGGCUUAACCUGGGAACUGCAUUCGAGACUGCAUUGCUAGAGUAUGGGAGAGGGAAGUGGAAUUUCCGGUGUAGCGGUGAAAUGCGUAGAUAUCGGAAGGAACAUCAGUGGCGAAAGCGACUUCCUGGACCAAUACUGACGCUCAUGUGCGAAAGCGUAGGGAGCAAACAGG